This is a long non-coding RNA of Triticum dicoccoides, 521 nucleotides long. RefSeq lists it as uncharacterized. The record is from RefSeq and is a predicted model, not a curated record. NCBI's taxonomy places the organism in Eukaryota, Viridiplantae, Streptophyta, Magnoliopsida, Poales, Poaceae. The transcript has 3 exons.
CAUAUGUGAAAUUCUGCAAUGAUGCCCAGCGGCAUGCUACUCUCAAGCUGGAGGUCGAGCUUAGGAACUGGAGGUCCUGCUUCGUGAGCUACGUCAGUGCUCAGAAGGCGUACAUCGAAUCCCUUGAUGGUUGGUUGUCCAAGUUCAUGCUCACAGACACCAUCCGUUAAUCCCGGGGAUCUCCUUGAUCGCGCUCGACAGGACCAGCGAGUAGCACACUACGCUGUCGACAACCGGAUCCUCCUCACAACUGACUCCGGCAUGGGCUUGCUCGCGCUCGACAGGACCAGCGAGUAGCACACUACGCUGUUGACAACCGGAUCCUCCUCACAACUGACUCCGGCAUGGUACCCAUUCCAACCCAAGAAGACGACUCAAGGGAGGACUGAUCUAUAUGUAGGCAGAUGGAUGAAUUCCAAGCCAUGAGAUAAAGUACCCUAAACCGAACUUACUAUUUAUUUGCAGUUUGCGAGUACACUUGUACUUCCCUGAUUUCUGCCCCAAAUAGCAUGCUUCCAGAU